RNAcentral lists this ribosomal RNA (441 nucleotides) under uncultured bacterium. RNAcentral's name for it is "partial 16S ribosomal RNA". It matches the Rfam family "Bacterial small subunit ribosomal RNA", at positions 338 to 795 of the family's 1533-position model. The record is from RNAcentral.
CCUACGGGAGGCAGCAGUGGGGAAUAUUGCACAAUGGGCGCAAGCCUGAUGCAGCAACGCCGCGUGCGGGAUGAAGGCCUUCGGGUUGUAAACCGCUUUCACCCAUGACGAAUGUAGACGGUAGUGGGAGAAGAAGCACCGGCUAACUACGUGCCAGCAGCCGCGGUGAUACGUAGGGUGCGAGCGUUGUCCGGAUUUAUUGGGCGUAAAGAGCUCGUAGGUGGUUUGUUGCGUCGGAUGUGAAAACUUGGGGCUCAACUCCAAGCUUGCUUUCGAUACGGGCAGACUUGAGGGAGGUAGGGGAGAACGGAAUUCCUGGUGGAGCGGUGGAAUGCGCAGAUAUCAGGAGGAACACCGGUGGCGAAGGCGGUUCUCUGGACCUUUCCUGACGCUGAGGAGCGAAAGCGUGGGGAGCAAACAGGAUUAGAUACCCCGGUAGUC